AGAGUGUGGGAGAGGAAGAUGGAAUUAGUUGUGUAGGGGUAAAAUCCGUAGAGAUAACUAGGAAUACCAAAAGCGAAGGCAAUCUUCUGGAACACUACUGACGCUGAGGCGCGAAGGCGUGGGGAGCAAACAGGAUUAGAUACCCUGGUAGUCCACGCAGUAAACGAUGAAUGUUAGUCGUCGGGUAGCUAGUCUAUUCGGUGAUGCAGCUAACGCAUUAAACAUUCCGCCUGGGGAGUACGGUCGCAAGAUUAAAACUCAAAGGAAUAGACGGGGACCCGCACAAGUGGUGGAGCAUGUGGUUUAAUUCGAAGAUACGCGAAGAACCUUACCUAGCCUUGACAUAUAUUAGAACAGACCAGAGAUGGACUGGUGCCUUCGGGAGCUUUUAUACAGGUGCUGCACGGCUGUCGUCAGCUCGUGUCGUGAGAUGUUGGGUUAAGUCCCGCAACGAGCGCAACCCUCGUCACUAGUUACUAACGGUUCGGCCGAGGACUCUAGUGAGACUGCCUUCGCAAGGAGGAGGAAGGUGAGGACGACGUCAAGUCAUCAUGGCCCUUACGGCUAGGGCAACACACGUGCUACAAUGGCCAGGACAAUGAGACGCGAUACCGCGAGGUGGAGCAAAUCUAUAAACCUGGUCUCAGUUCGGAUUGUAGUCUGCAACUCGACUACAUGAAGCUGGAAUCACUAGUAAUCG
RNAcentral lists this ribosomal RNA (700 nucleotides) under uncultured bacterium. Its description in RNAcentral is "bacterial SSU rRNA". It matches the Rfam family "Bacterial small subunit ribosomal RNA", at positions 643 to 1344 of the family's 1533-position model. The record is from RNAcentral.